UUUUUUUCUAUCAUAUCGUGAAUACAUCAUUUAAGAGCCCUCAUAGAAUGCAUCUCUCUUGGCGUCUACACUCCAUCUCUCCACAUCGCUAUGUCGCCUCUCUCCGCAAAAACCCAGAACGACCGGGCUUGAAAUACUUAGAGAAAAAUGGUAGAUCUUCUUCGCUCGUCGGAAGUCCGCUAUGGAUUUAAAUUGCUCCGUAGUUAUUUUCAUCUCUUCCCAAAGAUCUGAUUUACUUCAAUCUACUUGUUUCAGGUCAGUUGUUGAUUUUUCAUUUUUACAAUUCUCAAGUUUUUAUACAGUGUUUGAGUUUAAAAGACGAAUCUCAUGAGGUUGGAUUUUCUUCUCGAUGUUUGAUUCAAAUUACUAGGUUGAAAUUUGAUAAUCAAUUUGAGUAAUUAAUUCAGUGCAAUUUGUAGUAAGUUAAACUUUUGGAUACGUGCUGAAGGUCUCCCAAUAUUCUGAGAAUUGGACAGAGUCAACAAGUGAGGGUUUGGAAUCCAAAAUCUAUUUCUUUUUGGGUAAUAGAGACUGCCUUAGUUUACAACAAAGGGUGAUGUCUAUUUUUCUAGGUUUGGUGGCAAACAUACUGGCAUUCUUCAAAAUACAGAAUAUCUAUUGUACAAUAUCGUCCUUCUUUUCUACUAGUUGCUUCUAAACUAUCUAGCAAAUUUAAUUUAUGUUUGGCAGUUUAUCUAAUUUAUUAUAUCUUGGCUUUGUAAUCAUACAGAGCUGACACAGGAUAUUAGUGAAAUCAAUAACAAUGGUCAAUAGAAUGAUGUACAAUAGAGUAAGCUAAUUUUGAAGUUUUAUUUGAUUAUCAUCCUAAUUUAUUGCCCUAGAAUUAGGGUAAGGUUGAUGUUCUAAUUCAAAUGAUUCUUUAAGAGCACAUCUCAUAUGACUCGGUACUAUGCCAAUUAAUUAGGUCGGCUGUAGAACAAGCGAACUACAUCAUUCUUUGUUUGAAUUUAAUUAAUAAUUUACAAUUGCAGAUUAUGCGCAAUAAUCGAUUUUGAAUCUUGGCUAUUGGAGCAUGUUUUCACUUGCAAAUGGCCUAAUUUUUCAAGCAACGUAAGUCACUUUUAUUCAUUGCAUGUUAUGUUUCUUUAUCUUUUCAAAUUCUUUGAUUAUGUAUAACAUGGAAUAGUUCCUUUGGUCAAGGCCAAUGGUAAUACUACCAAUAAGAUGAUAGAAGAUAGUUUCAACAUUCAAGCACCUCUCCACCAUUAUUGUAACGACUCAACCAGUCGUUUUGACUGUUAGAACCCCGUUCCUCUAAAUAAGACUCCCCGUAUGCUCUUUUACUAGUUAUAACUUGCGGGGAUGGUUGGUUCGGGAUUUAGAAGUGUUCGGGUUGAAAUCGGAACACUUAGUUCCUUAGUUUGGCUUUAAAAGGUCAAGUUUGAUUUCGGUCAAUAUUUUUGGAAAACGACCUCGAAAUCGGGAUUUGGCGGUUCCAAUAGGUUCGUAUGGUGAUUUUGGACUUGGGUAUAUGUUCGAAUCGGGUUUUGGACAAACCGGGAGCAUUUUGGCGCUUAAUAGUGAAAACUAGCUAUUUGAAGGUUGAAGGCUCUUUAAAUUUGUUUUGGAGUAGGUUUUGGAGUAAUCGAGGUCCGUUUGGAAUUCCGAGCAUGGAGAUAGUUCCGUAUGGUGAUUUAAGACUUGCACACAAAAUUUGGUGUCAUUCCGAGUGGUAUAAGUAUAUUUCGGCGCGUUCGGAGUAAGUUUGAAAAAUUUGAAAAUUCUAAGUUGAAUCAAUUUGGUUUGAGGUAUGAUUCUUAGUUUUGAUGUUGUUUUACACGUUCCGAGAGUUCGAGCGAGUCCGUUUUAUGAUUUCAAACUUGUUGGUAUGUUCGGGCGGGGCACCCGGGACCUCGGGUGUCAACCGGACGAGGCUCAGACCAAUUUUAGAAUUUGGAGCAGCAACUGAAGCUUCCAGCUUCUGCUGCAAUCGCACCUGCGCUUGGGCUGUCGCAGGUGAGAGAAUCGCAGAUGCGACAUUUUGCUCGCAGAAGCGGAAAGGGCGCAGGUGCGAAGGGCAUCGCCGCAUAAGUGGACGCGCAAAAGCGGUCCUGAGGCUGCAUAUGCGGAGUUUGGCCAGGAGAGGGAAUCUCGCACCUGCGAGGAAUUUUUCGCAAGUGCGGUUACACCUUCGCAGGUGCGAAAAUCACAGAAGGCAGAACCUUCAUUUAAGUCGGGAGUUGCAUAUUUUGAGCCCAUUUUCUCCAUUCUUGGGCGAUUUGGAGCUUUUUGGGAGGAGAUUUCAACUAGCAACUUUAAGGUAAGUUAAUUCUACACACUUUGAGUUAAAUACAUAAAUUAUGGGUAGAUUAUAACUUGUAAAUCGUGAAAAUCAAGGGUUUAGAUAAAAAACCUAGAUUUUUAUAAAAAUGAGAUUUUAACCACAAAAAUGGUUAUGGAAUUAGAUGUAAAUCGUAUAUUUGAGUUCUUGAGAUUAUGGGUAACGAUUUCCUCCGAAUAUUUUCGAAAUCCGGGCACGUGGGCCCGAGGUGAAUUUUAGGAAUUUUACCAUUUUGGGUUGGGUAAUUAAUUUAAUAGUCUAGUUUCGAAUCAUUGAGCAUGUAUUAAUUAUUUUGUAUAACAUUUGGAUAGUUUUGGAUUUUUCGGCAUUGGAUUGAGACUUUAACGCGACAUUGUGAUCGGAAAGUGGACUUUGAGACGGGGUAAGUCUCUUGUCUAACCUUGUAAGAGGGAAUUUACCACAUAGGUGAUUUAAAGUAAUAAUUGUUGCUAAUUGUGGGGGCUACGUACGCACGAGGUGACGAGAGUCCGUGCGUAGCUACUAAUUAUGCGAUAUCCGGGUAGUUUAGGACUCAAAUCAUGAAUUACUUGUGAUAAUUGCAUCUUGUAUUUAAUUAAAGUACUGGAAUUAUAUUGUGAAUUGUUAGAAGAGAUAGUAAAAGACUGAAAUUUCGUCUACUUGAAUUUUUGUACAAAUUAUUUAACUGUUAAUAGAAAUUGUACAUCCUUGUAUGUUAGCCUUAUAAUAAUGACUUCUCAUUUCAGAGGUUCAUAAGAAAAUGUCCUCCUUUCUUGUGGAGCGAGCCGAACGCCUCGGCAGUAUAGAUGCAUUUAUGGAUCGUGCAGGACGUACCUCAGCAGUGUACACGACACUCUGGACCGGGUCGAAUGACCUCGGCAGAAAUCGUGCCUAAUAAUAAUAAUUACAUGAUACCUUGACAUUCUAUUGCAACUUGUGAAGCUAAUUGAUAAAUUAAAAAUUAUUGAAAUUGAAAGAAUUAAUUGAUUCUGCUUGUUAAGGAAAUUAUUGUUGUUCAUAUAAAUCAUGUUUAAUUAAAUGUUUCUAUUUUUAAUAUUAUUGACCCAUAGUGAGUGUCAAAGUUGACCUCCCGUCACUACUUAUUCGAGAUUAGCCCUAAUACUUACUGGGUACACGUUGUUUACGUACUCAUGCUACGCUUGCUGCACUUUUUGUGUAGGACCUGAGAUAGGUGCUAUAGGUGGACCUACCGGCGCGUACCCACGUUAUCCCGAGGUUUAGUGGUGAUCUGCCUUUCCGAGUCAUUCUGUAGCAACUAAUGCCUCUCCUUGUAUUUGUAUUAUGUCUAUUUUAUUUCAGAUAAUAUUUAAAAUUUUUGUAUAAUCUACUAGAUGUUCAUACACUUGUGACACCAGGUCUUGGCACACACACUAGUAGAAUUUUGGAUUUAAUUAUUUUCUUGGAUUUUAAUUAAUCAGAUCUUUCAUAUUCUCUUAAUUACUCGGAUAAUUGUUUAAGAAAUUAAUAUAUAUUUAAUUCACUAGUUGGCUGGCCUAGCUGUUAUGUUGGGUGCCAUCACGACCUAUAGAUUAAAUUGGAUCGUGACAAUUGUCCCCCUCCAUCUUCACCAAAACCAUAAUUAACAUUUUCCCAUAUCUAUGAGAUAAAUUCCACCAUAAUAUUUUACAACAGUACCUAUAAUGAGGUUGAUGGUGAUUUCUUCCUUGCAUCAAAAUGGCAAGUGCGAGUCAAAAAUUGACAUAAAUGGGCCAAAAAAUUAAGGUCGAAGAGAAAUAUAAGUAAUACCUAAUUUGAAGUUGGCUUUUUGUUUUGAGUCUAGCUAUGUUUCUUGACUAAAGCGAAACACCAUUCCUUCAAUGGUGGCUGGUUGAAUUUUAAUUUUUUUAUCAAAAUAAACUUUUAUCAUCAAGCAUUAGGGGGACUUGAAUUGGUUGAUUCAUACUUCGGUGGUGUUACAUAUAAGAGGAAGAAAUGUGCUUUCAGAAGUAAAAAAUAGUGGAAGAAAAUUUUGGAGUGGGUUUAUAAGGUGGUCGAGGAAGUGGAGGUUUCAGAGAUGGCCAUGGCAAUGGUGGUAGUGGUUAGGUGUUGCUGAAUUUUGUUAGGUGCAAUUUAUAGAGUCUGUAUCUGAAAUUUGGUGCAAUUUGGUGAAGGAUUUGAGUGGUUUCGAGUUGGAUUAAAUCUUCAAUAGUUUACUGCACUGUAUGUGAAGAAGAAAGGGACGUGGGGUGAGGAAGAAGGAGAAACAAGAGGGGGCCACUUUUUUUAUUUAUUAUUUUUUGUUAUUUACGCGCUUUUAAUUUGUUUUCUUUCUAUUUUUUUUGCCAUAUUAGCUGUUAAGGAGGAAAAUAAUUCACUUCAGAUGUGUUUAGGGGGUAAAAGAAUACCCGUUUAGUUUAAGUGUUCAAACAUAUUUUUUGGACAAGUUUAAUGGGGGUUUUAUGUAUUUUGCCAAGAUUCAACAACUAGAUGGCAUGCAAUUUUAUUUCAAGAGGAGCAUUAAUGCAGUGACAAGAAUUUCUUGAGUUAUGUUUCAAUUAUGUUCUAUAGAAGCAUCACUAUUGCAAUAAUUAGCUGCUGUAAAGAAGUUGUCGGAGCAUGCUUAUCUAAUCACCUUAUGAAAUAGGCUAGUAGGAUUAUAUUUGAUUUGGAUCAAAUAGAUGAUGAUUUCUUGUUCUUAUUAGAUAUCAAGUUUCAUCCUUUUGAAACAUGUUCAUUUGAUCCUUCAACCACUUGCUCAUAUCAGGAUUAAGCAUAAAAGAUAGUUUCCUGAACUUUUUCCUUACGAUAGUCUCAUAGGUAUUCUUUUAGCUUAUUUGAAGAUGACGCUUUUUAAAGUAAAAUUUUAACAUGAAGAUGCAGGAUGGAGUUGGUGUAUUAUCUUUGUAAAUGGUUAUGCUGAUCAGUAACAACUAUUAUAUAGAUUUAAGGUCUAAACACGAUGGCCUUUCUUUUACAUUCCAAUUAGUGAUAAAAGCUCCCAACAAAUUCCCAAGACAUGAUUCAAGAAAUCCUUCAAUGGGUGAUUUUGUAACAAUAGAGUGCUUUUUGGUUUGUGCCAUCUAUUUUUCUAUUUCAUUUCUAGAAGCUUUUUGUGAAGUUGGAUUGUAAUGCUUGAUGUUCUCAUUCUUAGUGUAGUUGGUGCUAUGUAAUUGGAUGGUAUACAACUAUCCCAAUGUGAUCUGUAACUCUUAUUCAAUUUAAAGUCAAGUUUUCUUGUCUCCAGAAUGCAUAUUUGAUAUAAUGUGAAGUUUUAUGAAUCUUUAAAUUAUUUCUGCAUGUGGGAAUGGUUGUCGGACAUUUAUGUUUAUCAAUUUCGGGCUAAUAGUAAAAAAAUUAAAUGUGUGCAGUUACUAAUCCAUCUUCGGACAUGUCGAGAUGCUAGCACAAGAGAUAAAAAGGAGCUGCAUCAGUUGAAGCAGUAGAAGACAAAAUAUGGCAGGUAUGUUUUACAUUUCUUUUUAAUGGUGUUAUAUAUGUGACUAUGACUUAGAGAUUUCUUCAUCGUGUAAUCGAACCCUGAGAAUUAAUGAAAGUAUGUGAUUUUGACUUUCAAAUCUAAUGUCUCCUUAACUGUCACAUUAAUUAUUGAUGUUGUGAAAUAUAUAGAGUUUUAGUCCUCCUCUUAACUUCCUACUGAGAAUGGAUGGAUUAAUUUUACUACGGAAUGAAAAUUAUUCAAUGAUAAUCCAUCUAGUUGAAAUAGGCAUAAAAUUACCAUAUGAAGAUUAGAAUAAAGUUGAUUCUGAGCUGAUGCUACUUAGCUUUUUGUUCUUCCAGUAAAAAUUUAUUUUUGAACAAAAUACACUAUCGCAAAAUUUUAGCGUAUGUUUCAUAGAACAGACGUUUUUGUGCAAUUAGUUUUGAUUGAAUUUUGUAGUAGCAUACCUUGAUAUGCUAGCAUGAGUUUGUAAAUGUUACAUAGUUGUUUUAUUGAUUAUUGAUGAACUUCAUAUGUGGUGGUUUAUUUGAUUUCAUUUUAUUUUAUUAUUUCAGGAUAUACAUUAUGGUGUUUAAAAACUUAGCAUGUGACAAGACUUCAUUGUGAUCAAGAAUUGAAGAAUCUUUUAUGUCUUUUAUUGUCUUGUUAUAGUUAUUUGAUAGCACAAUUUAUUAGAUUCAAAAUAAUACUAUUUAGAUUCAAAUAUAUUAGCAUUUUUGUUAAGUUGACACUUUGAAUUUAUGAAUUAAUAUUUAUUUUUGUUUGUUGUGGAUUAUAUGAAGAGUAUUAUUUUUUCAAAUGA
This 6504-nucleotide long non-coding RNA is filed under the name Nicotiana tabacum (common tobacco). RNAcentral's name for it is "long non-coding RNA (NTAB_LNC017342)". Lineage: Eukaryota; Viridiplantae; Streptophyta; Magnoliopsida; Solanales; Solanaceae. The record is from RNAcentral.